AUUGAACGCUGGCGGCAGGCCUAACACAUGCAAGUCGAACGAGUGGCGGACGGGUGAGUAAUGUCUGGGAAACUGCCUGAUAGAGGGGGAUAACUCCUGGAAACGGUGGCUAAUACCGCAUACAAUCGGAUGAUCCCAGAUGGGAUUAGCUAGUGGGGGGGGUAACGGCUCACCUAGGCGACGAUCCCUAGCGGGUCUGAGAGGAUGACCAGCCAGACGGGAACUGAGACACGGUCCAGACUCCUACGGGAGGCAGCAGUGGGGAAUAUUGCACAAUGGGCGCAAGCCUGAUGCAGCCAUGCCGCGUGUAUGAAGAAGGCCUUCGGGUUGUAAAGUACUUUCAGCGGGGAGGCGUUACCCGCAGAAGAAGCACCGGCUAACUCCGUGCCAGCAGCCGCGGUAAUUC
RNAcentral lists this ribosomal RNA (406 nucleotides) under uncultured bacterium. RNAcentral's name for it is "partial 16S ribosomal RNA". It matches the Rfam family "Bacterial small subunit ribosomal RNA", at positions 30 to 526 of the family's 1533-position model. The record is from RNAcentral.